Molecule: long non-coding RNA, 1519 nt
Filed under: Equus caballus (horse)
Lineage: Eukaryota; Metazoa; Chordata; Mammalia; Perissodactyla; Equidae
Description: lncRNA (ENSECAG00000032913.3)
Source: RNAcentral
ACUUCAGAGGCCGGUCACAAAUACUGGGUCCCCAGGUUACCUGCACUUCCGUCUGACAUGGCUACAAUUGGCGGGUUUCCACAGCUCCCCACUCCCAGGUCAUGGAGAUAAAAAGGACAGGAAAAGAAGACCGAAACGGAGCAGCCAGCACAAUAGGAGAAGCACAGUUUCGAGUUUCCAGACCAUUGACCACAAAGUGGAGAUCCUGCCCGGAGCAUGGCGCGUUGCAGUGGAACAUUUGAACUCUCCUCAUUUUCCCUGGAGCCAGAUCAACACCUGGUUGCUCCCAACCCCACCUCCCCAUGUCGAGCAGCAGACGCUGAUGUCUGGACAGGCAUGUUUCCAAGGGUCUAGCUGGUUCCCUGUGGGUCCCCAAUGUUUGGUGCAAUGCCAGGUACAUCACAGCCACUCAGAACACACUUGUUGAAUGAAUGAAUGUUGAAUAAACUCCUUAGUCUCAGACUUACAGGAAAAAGUUCAUCAGCUCAAAUGACAGGUGAAGGAUCCUCUCAUAUUUCUGCACCUGUUGGGCUGGGAAUCUGUGCCCUUAAUAAAUUUGCUUAGCAGCCCUUGGGAAAGCCACAUCAAGCGAUGGAAGGAGCACAGAGCUGGGAGUCUGGAUCCCUGGAUGCUAGUGCUGGCACAGCCAUCCCAGGAUGUGUAACUUAGAGUUUAGGUUCUACAGCCUAACACUUGAGUGUGCGGUUCUGUGCAGACAGACAAUGAAGUUCAGGGCUGCAGGCCGCAGAUCUAAAGGCUGAUCCUGGGUCAGACACGAUCUGCCUAAAUGACCCUGGCAAAUUAUCUGGUCUCUUGUGCCUGUAACUACAUCUAUAAAACGUCAGAAAUAUUGACCUGUCCCCAAGUAGGUGAACUUUAAGAAACAGGCUUUGGAAAUCUUGGGAAGAAUGAUUUAAAAGUACCGCUUCCUGCUGGUGACCCAACCUAAGCAUAGUGUGUGGAGGAAUGCAAACGAUCAGCCUUUCCCAUGCAGUCGGCCGCACUGAAGUACUGUGGGUGACGAAAAUGGAUCUGUUGCCUAAGCUGGGUGUGGAAAAACCACGUGCCAGGCUGGAAAUCGAUGAAUUCACACCUUCUCUCUCGCUCCCUCAAGUUGGGCUGUGAUAUGAAUGACCUUUCCUAGAAGCAAAAGGAGGAAGAUGGAGUGUGACCACAGCGUCUGCUGAAUGUCAUUGAGAUGGUCACAUUCUCACUGACAGAUGGAGACUUGGGCAAAAGACCACUGAGGUGUGCACCUUCCUACCACCUUUGAACAGAACUCCCUCUGCUCUCGUCUCUGCAGCUAUAAGGUUUUCUCCCACCACAUGGAAAGGUGGCAGAAAGCCACAAUUCUGGAAAGAUGAGUGUUGUUCUAGAAAACUACCCUGACAUGCAACAGGCUCGUCAGCCCCAUGGAUGAGAUGUUUUGAAUUUCUUUCCUCUCCAUUUCUACUAUCUUCCUAUUUUUCGUGUAACUAACCUCUAAACCUCUCCUUGGCGAUCAGGCCUCCCUUCUGAU